Molecule: ribosomal RNA, 255 nt
Filed under: uncultured bacterium
Lineage: Bacteria
Description: partial 16S ribosomal RNA
Rfam family: Bacterial small subunit ribosomal RNA
Source: RNAcentral
UACGUAGGGUGCAAGCGUUGUCCGGAAUUAUUGGGCGUAAAGAGCUCGUAGGCGGUUCGUUGUGUCGGCGGUGAAAUCCCCGGGCUCAACCUGGGAAUGGCCGUUGAAACUGGCGAACUGGAGUGUGGCAGAGGGGGGUGGAAUUCCGCGUGGUAGCAGUGAAAUGCGUAGAUAUGCGGAGGAACACCGAUGGCGAAGGCAAUCCCCUGGGCCUGUACGUGACGCUCAUGCACGAAAGCGUGGGGAGCAAACAGG